GCCCGCAAGCAGAUGCGCGCCGGACAGGCGCUGAAAGCGGCGGACCUCGGAAAGCCGGAUCUGGUCUCGCGCGAUCAGGGCGUCAUGCUGAUCUACGAAGCACCGGGCCUCUAUCUCACCGGCCGCGGCAAAGCGCUCGACAGCGGCACCGAAGGCGACAUCGUCAACAUCGUCAACCUGCAAUCGAAACGCACCGUCCAGGGCGUGGUGACCGGCCCCGGCCAGGUCACGAUCACCG
RNAcentral lists this unclassified non-coding RNA (238 nucleotides) under Hevea brasiliensis (rubber tree). Lineage: Eukaryota; Viridiplantae; Streptophyta; Magnoliopsida; Malpighiales; Euphorbiaceae. The record is from RNAcentral.